AACGGCCGUACCAUGCUGAAUAUACCGGUUCUCGUUAGAUCACCGAAGUCAAGCAUCAUUGGGCGCGGUCAGUACUUGGGUGGGUGGCCACAUGGGAACACCGCGUGC
This 108-nucleotide ribosomal RNA is filed under the name Caerostris darwini. The record is from RNAcentral. Lineage: Eukaryota; Metazoa; Arthropoda; Arachnida; Araneae; Araneidae.